UUGGCCCAGAUCGUUUACCGUGAAAAAAUUAGAGUGUUCAAAGCGGGCAGAUAUUUUUCCUGCCACCGAAUACAUUAGCAUGGGAUAAUGGAAUAGGACCCUGACCUCCUAUUUUCAGUUGGUUUUGUUUACAGCGAGGUUAUAUCAGGGUAAUGAUUAAUAGGGAUAGUUGGGGGCAUUAAUAUUUAAUUGUCAGAGGUGAAAUUCUUGGAUUUAUGAAAGAUUAACUUCUGCGAAAGCGUUUGCCAAGGAUGUUUUCAUUAAUCAAGAACGAAAGUUAGGGGAUCGAAGACGAUCAGAUACCGUCGUAGUCUUAACCAUAAACGAUGCCGACCAGCGAUUAGGAGACGUUGAAUACAAAACACCGCCGUUAAUCCUUUCGGGGGUUAAUGGUUGGUGAAUGACUCCCUAGCAGCUUGUGAGAA
This 425-nucleotide ribosomal RNA is filed under the name Acanthamoeba castellanii. RNAcentral describes it as "SSU rRNA". It matches the Rfam family "Eukaryotic small subunit ribosomal RNA", at positions 738 to 1096 of the family's 1831-position model. Lineage: Eukaryota; Discosea; Longamoebia; Acanthamoebidae. The record is from RNAcentral. RNAcentral also lists the same sequence under 1 other name.